AGGGCGCUGUUAUCAUCAGGACACCGCUGCAGAGACACAACACACAGCAUGCAGUUGGGAUCUCCUGCCAUGCCUGUGACUAGCUGCUUCGUCAUCUCUGUGCCACACCCUGCUGAGGAAAAGGACAACCACCUGACCUUGAUGCUCACAUCAGCUCAACCAUCACUUCUUUCCUCUGCUGCCUAUUACUGAAAGACCCAUGCGGAAAGAGGAGAAGAGAGGAAAAUCUGAAAGAUAGGAGUGGCACGGAGAGGAAGGGAUGUGGCGGCGAUGGUGUCGCUGUUGCUAGAACAGUCUUCCCACCUUGUGGUAGCACAGUGAACUGUAGCUGCAUCAAUGCGUGAGCAAUAGGAGGAGAGAGA
Centropristis striata (black sea bass) is the source of this 362-nucleotide long non-coding RNA. RefSeq lists it as uncharacterized. NCBI's taxonomy places the organism in Eukaryota, Metazoa, Chordata, Actinopteri, Perciformes, Serranidae. The record is from RefSeq and is a predicted model, not a curated record. The transcript has 3 exons.